RNAcentral lists this ribosomal RNA (439 nucleotides) under uncultured bacterium. Its description in RNAcentral is "partial 16S ribosomal RNA". It matches the Rfam family "Bacterial small subunit ribosomal RNA", at positions 339 to 795 of the family's 1533-position model. The record is from RNAcentral.
CUACGGGGUGCAGCAGUGAGGAAUAUUGCACAAUGGGGGGAACCCUGAUGCAGCAACGCCGCGUGGAGGAUGACGCAUUUCGGUGUGUAAACUCAUUUUAUAUGUCAAGAAAAUGACGGUAGCAUAUGAAUAAGCACCGGCUAACUCCGUGCCGGCAGCCGCGGUAAUACGGAGGGUGCAAGCGUUACUCGGAAUCACUGGGCGUAAAGGACGCGUAGGCGGGUUGGAAAGUCAGGUGUGAAAUCCUACAGCUUAACUGUAGAACUGCACUUGAAACUUCUAAUCUAGAGUAUGGGAGGGGGAGAUGGAAUUAGUGGUGUAGGGGUAAAAUCCGUAGAUAUCACUAGGAAUACCUAAAGCGAAGGCGAUCUCCUGGAACAUUACUGACGCUAAGGCGUGAAAGCGUGGGGAGCAAACAGGAUUAGAUACCCUCGUAGUC